Molecule: ribosomal RNA, 771 nt
Filed under: Eurocoelotes inermis
Lineage: Eukaryota; Metazoa; Arthropoda; Arachnida; Araneae; Amaurobiidae
Description: SSU rRNA
Rfam family: Eukaryotic small subunit ribosomal RNA
Source: RNAcentral
AAAGUUAGAGGUUCGAAGGCGAUCAGAUACCGCCCUAGUUCUAACCAUAAACGAUGCCAGCCAGCGAUCCGGCUGUGUUCCUCAAAUGACACGCCGGGCAGCUUCCGGGAAACCAAAGCUUUUGGGUUCCGGGGGAAGUAUGGUUGCAAAGCUGAAACUUAAAGGAAUUGACGGAAGGGCACCACCAGGAUUGGAGCUUGCGGUUUAAUUUGACUCAACACGGGACAACCUACCCGGCCCGGACACAGGAAGGAUUGACAGAUUAAGAGCUCUUUCUUGAUUCUGUGGGUGGUGGUGCAUGGCCGUUCUUAGUUGGUGGACUGAUUUGUCUGGUUAAUUCCGUUAACGAACGAGACUCUAGCCUACUAAAUAGACGUUCCGAUUAUUUAUUUUUCGGACGUUCUUCUUAGAGGGACAAUCGGCGCUUAGCCCGAUGAGACAGAGCAAUAACAGGUCUGUGAUGCCCUUUGAUGUCCGGGGCCACACGCGUGCUACAUUGAAGGAAUCAGCGUGUGCUUUCCCUGUCCGACAGGACUGGGUAACCCGUUGAACCUCCUUCGUGCUGGGGAUAGGGGCUUGUAAUUGUUCCCCUUGAACGAGGAAUUCCUAGUAAGCACGAAUCAUCAGUUCGUGUUGACUAAGUCCCUGCCCUUUGUCCACACCGCCCGUCGCUACUACCGAUUGAAUGAUUUAGUGAGGUCUUCGGACUGGCGCUCGGAGCGGCCUUCGGGUCGCGCCGGCGUGCCGGAAAGAUGACCAAACUUGGUCAUU